UUUGUCUUGGCAGAGUGGUUUAGGUGAAAUAUUUUGGGAUCUUCCCGCGCAGAUUCGAAUCCUGCCGACAACG
RNAcentral lists this transfer RNA (73 nucleotides) under Dreissena polymorpha. Its description in RNAcentral is "tRNA-Gln". The record is from RNAcentral. Lineage: Eukaryota; Metazoa; Mollusca; Bivalvia; Myida; Dreissenidae.